AGAGUGGGCUGAGGCCGAGGAGGCGCGGAGAGCCAGCGAGGGAUGCCAGCAAGCUGUCACCUCUCAGAAAUACAGGAAGAACAUCAAUAAUGUUCGAAGUUAUAAAGCUGGAAUGCACUUGGAUACCAGAGAUUUUGAUUUCUUAAUGUGAAAUAAGUUGCGGAGGUCAGAAGUCAGAAAACAAGGUGUCUGCAGGACCAACCUCUCCUCUGGAUGCUCUAGGUGAGAAUCUUUUCCAUGCCUUUCUCUUAGCUUCUGAUGUUGCCAUCAGAACUUCAGAUGGUGUUCCUUGGCUUCUGUUAAUAUUAAUACAUAAAUCCUUUUCAGUCUCAGCUUCUGUCUUCACAUGGUCCUCUCCAUAUCCUAUCUGUUUCUGUUCCCUCUUCUUAUAAAGAUAACCCAUGUUGUUUUAAGUCCCACCUAAAGACCUAAUUUUAGCUUGAUUACAUCUGCAAAAACUUUGUGUCCAAAUAAGGUUUCAUUUACCUUGUGUGUAUAACUAGGGGUUAGGGCUUGAACAUACGGGUUUGGGGAGGGGAACACAAUUCAGACCAUGACACUCAUUGUUUCACUCAUUAAUGAGUUAAGGGUGCUUUGAUAUUAUUACAUUUGAAUGAGAGUGGUUUUUAAAAUUACAUUUUGUCGCGUAGUUUGUUCCACCCUGAUGCUUAAAGGGAGUCACCUGCCUCAGCCAAUUAAACUGUGUUGUCUCUGCAGUGCGUUUUAUCACAAGAACAUGACCUUUAAGCACAAGAACACCUUGUAUUCCACCACUAAAAACAGAAAUGACAUCUACCUUCACUGCUUCCCUAUUUCUCUCCAUCUUUACUGACUUGGUAUUUUGUUGUUGCUGUCAUUUCUGGUUGUUGGUCAAUUUUCAUUUCUAUUCUUAUUUUGCUGAUAAUUCUUAUAAAUCAGUGCUGAAUUUUGUCAAAUUAUUUUUCUGCAUCUCUACAGAUGAUCAUUUUAUGUUUUUGUCUCUGUGAUAAUUUGGUGAAUGUCAUUGAUCAAUUUUUAAAUAAUGAAUAUCUUUGCAUUUAAGAUAAUAUUUUUCACUAUUAAUGUUAUCUCUGAAAUGAAAGCUAAACCUAGUCAAUAGAUAUUAGAGGUGCAUGAUUUUUAAAAUUGUAUAAAAUUAGAUAAAAAAUACAAAGAAAUAUAUAUAA
Molecule: long non-coding RNA, 1166 nt
Organism: Homo sapiens (human)
Lineage: Eukaryota; Metazoa; Chordata; Mammalia; Primates; Hominidae
Source: Ensembl